UGCUCAGCUACUAACGUUAGCGUUGUUAGUUGCAGGUGAUUUAAACUCAUGUGAUGACAUGAGAUUGAUAUCAUUAUAUUAAUUUCUGUUAUUUAAUUAAUGUAUCUAUAUACUUGGUAAAUGACGGGAGGCCUAGCCUUUUGCCGGGUGUCUUGUUCCGUUAUUGCCGCCUUAGUUGCCGGUUACCGGUGUUUGAUUCCAUAUUGAUCGCUCCUAACACGUUCGGGGUUGUUAUGGGGACCCCCUUGAUAAAUCGCGUAGUGUUAAGGCUUGUCUGGCAGGACCCAACUUUGGUUUUAAACUGCU
Molecule: long non-coding RNA, 306 nt
Filed under: Hordeum vulgare
Lineage: Eukaryota; Viridiplantae; Streptophyta; Magnoliopsida; Poales; Poaceae
Description: long non-coding RNA (HVUL_LNC001919)
Source: RNAcentral